Molecule: ribosomal RNA, 274 nt
Filed under: uncultured bacterium
Lineage: Bacteria
Description: partial 16S ribosomal RNA
Rfam family: Bacterial small subunit ribosomal RNA
Source: RNAcentral
AUACGGAGGGUGCAAGCGUUAUUCGGAAUCACUGGGCGUAAAGGACGCGUAGGCGGGUUGGCAAGUCAGAUGUGAAAUCCUACAGCUUAACUGUAGAACUGCAUUUGAAACUGCUAACCUAGAGUAUGGGAGGGGGAGAUGGAAUUAGUGGUGUAGGGGUAAAAUCCGUAGAUAUCACUAGGAAUACCGAAAGCGAAGGCGAUCUCCUGGAACAUAACUGAUGCUAAGGCGUGAAAGCGUGGGGAGCAAACAGGAUUAGAAACCCUAGUAGUCC